GAUGAAGAACGUAGCGAAAUGCGAUAAGUAAUGUGAAUUGCAGAAUUCAGUGAAUCAUCGAAUCUUUGAACGCAUCUUGCGCUCCUUGGUAUUCUGAGGAGCAUGCUUGUUUGAGUAUCAGUAAACACCUCAAAGACUUCAAUUUGUUUUGAAUGGCUUUGGACUUGAGCAAUCCCAACACCAGUCUUUACGAUCGGUGGAGGGUUGCUUGAAAUGCAGGUGCAGCUGGACAUUCUCCUGAGCUAAAAGCAUAUUUAUUUAGUCCCGUCAAACGGAUUAUUACUUUUGCUGCAGCUAACAUAAAGGGAGUUUGACCGUAUUGGCUGACUGAUGCAGGAUUUCACAAGGGUCGGCAACGAUUCUUGUAAAACUCGAUCUCAAAUCAAGUAAGACUACCCGCUGAACUUAAGCAUAUCAAUAAGCGGAGGA
Molecule: unclassified non-coding RNA, 429 nt
Filed under: soil metagenome
Description: partial contains 5.8S ribosomal RNA, internal transcribed spacer 2, and large subunit ribosomal RNA
Rfam family: 5.8S ribosomal RNA (bases 1-120)
Source: RNAcentral